RNAcentral lists this long non-coding RNA (843 nucleotides) under Homo sapiens (human). RNAcentral describes it as "non-protein coding lnc-ARL14-1:1". Lineage: Eukaryota; Metazoa; Chordata; Mammalia; Primates; Hominidae. The record is from RNAcentral.
ACGGUGGGUGAAAAAGUUGAGAAGCUGGAUACUAAGUAGAAGGAACCUGAAGCCAAGAAGGCUGUUGCUAAUGGCAAGGUGAAAAAGGGUAAGAAAAGGCCAAAAAGGGGAAGCCUCAUUGCAACUGAAGUCCUGUCUUCAUCAGAGAAAUUGGCAGAUAUUCCCAAUCUGCUAUGUAUUGUGGAAAGGUUAUGUACAAGAGGAAGUAUUCAGCCAGUAAAUCAAAGAUUGAAAAGAAAAAGGAGAAGGUUUAAUACAAAAGCAGUUGGUGGUGACAAAGUUGAAGGUACUCAGGUGGUUACACUUUGCAAAAUGCAUAGCUAUUAUCCUACUGAAGAUGUGCGCUGAACGCUGUUGAGCCACAGCCAAAAAUCUUUCAGUCAGCACGGAGAAAACUGCGAGGCAGCAUCACUCCCAGGACUAUUCUGUCCAUCCCCCCUGGGCACCACAGAGGCAAGAGGGUGGUUUUCGUGAAGGAGCUGGGCAGUGGCUUCUCACUUGUGACUGGAUCUUUGGUUCUCAGUUGAGUUCUUCUAUGAAGAACACACAAGAAAUUUGUCAUUGCCACCUCCACAAAAGUUGUUAUCAGCAAUGUGAAAAUCCUAAAACAUCUUACUCAUACUUACUUCAAGAAGAAGAAGCUGUGGAAGCCCAGACACUGGGAAGGUGAGAUCAUCAACAAAGGAAAAAGAAAAGGAGAUUACAGAGCAGUGCAAGGUUGAUCAGAAAGCAGUGGACUUGCAAAUUUUACUAAAAAUCAAAGCGAUUCCUUAGCUCCAGGGCUACCUAUGAUCUGUGUUUUCCCAGAUAAAUGAAAUUUAUUCUCAAAAAUUGGUGUUCUAA